Molecule: ribosomal RNA, 496 nt
Filed under: uncultured bacterium
Lineage: Bacteria
Description: partial 16S ribosomal RNA
Rfam family: Bacterial small subunit ribosomal RNA
Source: RNAcentral
AUGCACGCUGGCGGCGUGCCUCAUCCAUGCAAGUCGAGCGAACAGACGAGGAGCUUGCUCCUCUGACGUUAGCGGCGGACGGGUGAGUAACACGUGGAUAACCUACCUAUAAGACUGGGAUAACUUCGGGAAACCGGAGCUAAUACCGGAUAAUAUAUUGAACCGCAUGGUUCAAUAGUGAAAGACGGUUUUGCUGUCACUUAUAGAUGGAUCCGCGCCGCAUUAGCUAGUUGGUAAGGUAACGGCUUACCAAGGCAACGAUGCGUAGCCGACCUGAGAGGGUGAUCGGCCACACUGGAACUGAGACACGGUCCAGACUCCUACGGGAGGCAGCAGUAGGGAAUCUUCCGCAAUGGGCGAAAGCCUGACGGAACAACGCCGCGUGAGUGAUGAAGGUCUUCGGAUCGUAAAACUCUGUUAUUAGGGAAGAACAAAUGUGUAAGUAACUAUGCACGUCUUGACGGUACCUAAUCAGAAAGCCACGGCUAACUACGUG